GCCGGACACGUUCCGGCACUGUAAUGCAGCCGCCUACGGGCGCAGGUCCGAAGCCCUGGAAAAUGCAGACGGCAGA
RNAcentral lists this non-coding RNA (76 nucleotides) under unclassified sequences. The record is from RNAcentral.